RNAcentral lists this small RNA (125 nucleotides) under Marmota monax (woodchuck). The record is from RNAcentral. Lineage: Eukaryota; Metazoa; Chordata; Mammalia; Rodentia; Sciuridae.
GCCAGGUGCAGUGGCAUACACCUGUAAUCCCAAAGCUCAGGAGGCUGAGGCAGGAGGAUUGCGAGUCUCAAAACCAGCCUCAGCCACAGCAAGGUGCUAAGCAACUCAGUGAGACCCUGUUUCUA